This 585-nucleotide ribosomal RNA is filed under the name uncultured bacterium. Its description in RNAcentral is "partial 16S ribosomal RNA". It matches the Rfam family "Bacterial small subunit ribosomal RNA", at positions 355 to 1375 of the family's 1533-position model. The record is from RNAcentral.
UGGGGAAUUUUGGACAAUGGGCGAAAGCCUGAUCCAGCAAUGCCGCGUGUGUGAAGAAGGCCUUCGGGUUGUAAAGCACUUUUGUCCGGAAAGAAAUCCUUGGCUCUAAUACAGUCGGGGGAUGACGGUACCGGAAGAAUAAGCACCGGCUAACUACGUGCCAGCAGCCGCGGUAAUACGUAGGGUGCAAGCGUUAAUCGGAAUUACUGGGCGUAAAGCGUGCGCAGGCGGUUUGCUAAGGCCGAUGUGAAAUCCCCGGGCUUAACCUGGGAACUGCAUUGGUGACUGGCAGGCUAGAGUAUGGCAGAGGGGGGUAGAAUUCCACGUGUAGCAGUGAAAUGCGUAGAGAUGUGGAGGAAUACCGAUGGCGAAGGCAGCCCCCUGGGCCAAUACUGACGCUCAUGCACGAAAGCGUGGGGAGCAAACAGGAUUAGAUACCCUGGUAGUCCACGCCCUAAACGAUGUCAACUAGUUGUUGGGGAUUCAUUUCCUUAGUAACGUAGCUAACGCGUGAAGUUGACCGCCUGGGGAGUACGGUCGCAAGAUUAAAACUCAAAUGAAUUGACGGGGUCAUAGCUGUUUCCU